RNAcentral lists this ribosomal RNA (495 nucleotides) under uncultured bacterium. RNAcentral describes it as "partial 16S ribosomal RNA". It matches the Rfam family "Bacterial small subunit ribosomal RNA", at positions 28 to 507 of the family's 1533-position model. The record is from RNAcentral.
GACGAACGCUGGCGGCGUGCCUAAUACAUGCAAGUAGAACGCUGAAGGAGGAGCUUGCUUCUCCGGAUGAGUUGCGAACGGGUGAGUAACGCGUAGGUAACCUGCCUGGUAGCGGGGGAUAACUAUUGGAAACGAUAGCUAAUACCGCAUAACAGUAGAUGUUGCAUGACAUUUGCUUAAAAGGUGCAAUUGCAUCACUACCAGAUGGACCUGCGUUGUAUUAGCUAGUUGGUGAGGUAACGGCUCACCAAGGCGACGAUACAUAGCCGACCUGAGAGGGGGCUCGGCCACACUGGGACUGAGACACGGCCCAGACUCCUACGGGAGGCAGCAGUAGGGAAUCUUCGGCAAUGGACGGAAGUCUGACCGAGCAACGCCGCGUGAGUGAAGAAGGUUUUCGGAUCGUAAAGCUCUGUUGUAAGAGAAGAACGAGUGUGAGAGUGGAAAGUUCACACUGUGACGGUAUCUUACCAGAAAGGGACGGCUAACUACGUG